Molecule: ribosomal RNA, 253 nt
Filed under: uncultured bacterium
Lineage: Bacteria
Description: partial 16S ribosomal RNA
Rfam family: Bacterial small subunit ribosomal RNA
Source: RNAcentral
UACAGAGGGUGCAAACGUUGUUCGGAAUUACUGGGCGUAAAGCGCGUGUAGGCGGCUCGGCAAGUCGGGUGUGAAAGCCCUGGGCUUAACCUAGGAAGUGCACUCGAAACUGCCAAGCUUGAGUUCUGGAGAGGAAGGCGGAAUUCCCGGUGUAGAGGUGAAAUUCGUAGAUAUCGGGAGGAACACCAGUGGCGAAGGCGGCGACCUGGACAGAUAUUGACGCUGAGGUGCGAAAGCGUGGGGAGCAAACAGG